RNAcentral lists this ribosomal RNA (244 nucleotides) under uncultured bacterium. Its description in RNAcentral is "partial 16S ribosomal RNA". It matches the Rfam family "Bacterial small subunit ribosomal RNA", at positions 118 to 350 of the family's 1533-position model. The record is from RNAcentral.
UGAGGAACAUGACUUUCGGUGGGGGAGUAGCCGGCCCAACGGCCGGGUAAUACCGCGUACGACCUGUUGGGGACAUCCCCGAUUGGUGAAAGCAGCAAUGCGCCGAAAGAGUGCCUCGCGGCCUAUCAGCUAGUUGGUGGGGUAAUGGCUCACCAAGGCGACGACGGGUAGCUGGUCUGAGAGGAUGGCCAGCCACAGUUGGGACUGAGACACGGCCUAGACCUCCCGUACGGGGAGGNACGCG